Molecule: non-coding RNA, 295 nt
Organism: Nothobranchius furzeri (turquoise killifish)
Lineage: Eukaryota; Metazoa; Chordata; Actinopteri; Cyprinodontiformes; Nothobranchiidae
Source: RefSeq, a predicted model, not a curated record
GGUUAGGACUGAUUAGGUGAAGUUAGGACUGGUUAGGUCAGGUUAGGACUGAUUAGGUCAAGUUAGGACUGGUUAGGUCAGGUUAGGACUGGUUAGGUUAGGUCAGGUUAGAACUAAUUAGGUUAGGUUAGGACUGAUUAGGUUAGGACUGAUUAGGUCAGGUUAGGACUGGUUGGGUUAGGUUAAUACUGAUUAGGUCAGGUUAAGACUAAUUAGGUCAGGUUAGGACUGAUUAGGUCAGGUUAAGACUGAUUAGGUCAGGUUAAGACUAAUUAGGUUAGGUUAGGACUGAUUA